GAUGAACGUUGGCGGCAUGCUUAACACAUGCAAGUCGAACGACCCCCUUCGGGGGGGAGUGGCGAACGGGUGCGUAACACGUAGGUGACUUGCCCAGAAGAGGGGGAUAACCAUUGGAAACGAUGGCUAAUACCGCAUGAGCGACUAUCGAUUAGAUAGGUAGUCGGAAAGUGUUUAGCGCUUCUGGAGAGGCCUGCGGCCUAUCAGGUAGUUGGUGGGGUAAAAGCCUACCAAGCCAAUGACGGGUAGCUGACCUGAGAGGGUGGUCAGCCACAGGGGAACUGAGAAACGGUCCCC
Molecule: ribosomal RNA, 297 nt
Filed under: uncultured bacterium
Lineage: Bacteria
Description: partial 16S ribosomal RNA
Rfam family: Bacterial small subunit ribosomal RNA
Source: RNAcentral